UUGACACUUAAAUUUCAAUCUGUCUCUACUCACCUCUUUGGCCACAUUCUUUGCUAGUUUCUUUCUUUGAUUUCCUCCUUUCUUUACUACUUUCUUCAUUGGUCUCCCCUCCCCUCAACAAUCAAAUUUCACUCUCCAGUGUUCAUUCUCUUAUUCACUGUCUAGCAUCCUUACUCAAGAAUGCUUCUCUCAAUCAGAUUAGAAAGCUUGGACAGCAGUCAAUUAUAAUUCAUGACACCAAAAUAGAGAAGACUAGAAAAAUACAAUUAUCUUCCUUCUUCUUGGACAGGGCAAAUUAGUAUCAUAACUGCACCAAUUCUAUCCAAGUUAGCAUAUCAAUUUAAUGCAAUUUUAAGAAAAAUCCCAACAACUUAGUUUUUUCUGUAGCUAUAUGAGUUAAAUCUGAAGUGCAUAUGCAAAAGAAACCCCCACUUUUUAAUGACUAGGAAAAUCUACCUAAAUAAGAGUAAUGAUAGGGGGCUACCACUACUUAGAUCUUGCUGUUUUGCAGGUGAGGAAGAUGAUGACAGAAAUAAAUGUGCUUUAAAAAUGAAAUAAGGUGUGAUGGUUAAGUUUAUGUGUUAACUUGGCUGGGCCAUAGGAUGCCCAGAUAUCUAAUUAAACAUUAUUUCUGGGUGUGUGUCUCCAGUGUAGAUGGGUAUCAUCCAAUCCAUUGAGAGCUUGAAU
RNAcentral lists this long non-coding RNA (687 nucleotides) under Pan troglodytes (chimpanzee). Its description in RNAcentral is "long non-coding RNA NONPTRT016710". The record is from RNAcentral. Lineage: Eukaryota; Metazoa; Chordata; Mammalia; Primates; Hominidae.